This 181-nucleotide small RNA is filed under the name Arabidopsis thaliana (thale cress). RNAcentral's name for it is "ATSL095100". The record is from RNAcentral. Lineage: Eukaryota; Viridiplantae; Streptophyta; Magnoliopsida; Brassicales; Brassicaceae.
UUUCUCUAAUUAUCAAAAACAAACAUUAAAAUUUAGUGGCAGCAAUUGUAAAUAAAUUCCAACUACACGAUUUAGUUCACAAAAUGGCUGCAAAAAUGUAUAUGUAGAUUUAUACUAAAUUUAGAUUUGUUGCAAAAUAUACAUGAAAAACGAAAAGAAAUUAAAACAAAAAAAUCAAAAA